CAGAUUAACAUGACUAUCUAACUCUGUCGCAUCUACGCACUACCAGAGUAGAUUCAACAUGACUUCUACAAAUAAAGGCAGAUUCAUCAUUUGUCUUUGGAGAUUCACAUACAUUUGAAUACCUUCCUAUAUGGAGAAAGAAAAGAGAAAAACUAAGAAAGGUGAAUUUAAACAUAAUUGAUGGC
Alligator sinensis (Chinese alligator) is the source of this 185-nucleotide long non-coding RNA. RefSeq lists it as uncharacterized. The record is from RefSeq and is a predicted model, not a curated record. Lineage: Eukaryota; Metazoa; Chordata; Crocodylia; Alligatoridae. The transcript has 3 exons.